GAUGAACGCUGGCGGCGUGCCUAAUACAUGCCAGUCGAGCGAACAGACGAGGAGCUUGCUCCUCUGACGUUAGCGGCGGACGGGUGAGUAACACGUGUAUAACCUACCUAUAAGACUGGGAUAAUUUCGGGAAACCGGAGCUAAUACCGGAUAAUAUAUUGAACCGCAUGGUUCAAUAGUGAAAGACGGUUUUGCUGUCACUUAUAGAUGGAUCCGCGCCGCAUUAGCUAGUUGGUAAGGUAACGGCUUACCAAGGCAACGAUGCGUAGCCGGACUGAGAGGGUGAUCGGCCACCCUGGAACGGAGCCACGGUCCAGACUACUACGGGACGCAGCAGUAGGGAAUCUUACGCAAUGGGGGAAAGCCUGACGGAGCAACGCCGCGUGAGUGAUGAAGGUCUUCGGAUCGUAAAACUCUGUUAUUAGGGAAGAACAAAUGUGUAAGUAACUAUGCACGUCUUGACGGUACCUAAUAAGAAAGCCACGGCUAACUACGUG
RNAcentral lists this ribosomal RNA (497 nucleotides) under uncultured bacterium. Its description in RNAcentral is "partial 16S ribosomal RNA". It matches the Rfam family "Bacterial small subunit ribosomal RNA", at positions 28 to 507 of the family's 1533-position model. The record is from RNAcentral.